Molecule: long non-coding RNA, 442 nt
Filed under: Pan troglodytes (chimpanzee)
Lineage: Eukaryota; Metazoa; Chordata; Mammalia; Primates; Hominidae
Description: long non-coding RNA NONPTRT003906
Source: RNAcentral
UGAACCUGGAAGGCGGAGUUUCCACUGCAUUCCAGCCUGGGCGACAGAGCGAGACUUUUUCUCAAAAAGGUAAACAUGAUGCAAUGGUAAAUAGUCAUGGGCUAAUUAGAACAAACUACUCCUGUUCUCCCACACCCCUGGAGCUGGGUGAGUAGACACAGGUGAUACUGAGCUUGCUGAUGUGGUUAAGAGACCUUGAUUGUUUCAUGGGGAAGGUUAAUCAGUCAUUAGGUGUGAAUCAUUCCUUAAUGUCCCAUCUGAUGUAUUAUAUCCUGACAUUUUCCUUUCUUCCUCCCACAGCGUGAGUGCAUCUCCAUCCACGUUGGCCAGGCUGGUGUCCAGAUUGGCAAUGCCUGCUGGGAGCUCUACUGCCUGGAACACGGCAUCCAGCCCGAUGGCCAGAUGCCAAGUGACAAGACCAUUGGGGGAGGAGAUGAUUCCU